This 486-nucleotide ribosomal RNA is filed under the name uncultured bacterium. RNAcentral describes it as "partial 16S ribosomal RNA". It matches the Rfam family "Bacterial small subunit ribosomal RNA", at positions 30 to 507 of the family's 1533-position model. The record is from RNAcentral.
AUUGAACGCUGGCGGCAGGCUUAACACAUGCAAGUCGAGCGGAAACGAUGUAGCUUGCUACAGGCGUCGAGCGGCGGACGGGUGAGUAACGCGUAGGAAUCUGCCUAGUAGUGGGGGACAACAUGUGGAAACGCAUGCUAAUACCGCAUACGCCCUACGGGUGAAAGGAGGGGAUCUUCGGACCUUUCGCUAUUAGAUGAGCCUGCGUAAGAUUAGCUAGUUGGUAGGGUAAAGGCCUACCAAGGCGACGAUCUUUAACUGGUCUGAGAGGAUGGCCAGUCACACUGGGACUGAGACACGGCCCAGACUCCUACGGGAGGCAGCAGUGGGGAAUAUUGGACAAUGGGCGCAAGCCUGAUCCAGCCAUGCCGCGUGUGUGAAGAAGGCCUUAGGGUUGUAAAGCACUUUCAGGGGUGAGGAAGGGUGUUUGGUUAAUAUCCAAACAUUUUGACGUUAGCCCCAGAAGAAGCACCGGCUAACUCUGUG